CAGACGUCCAAAGCAGAUUCAUUCAUCCAUUCCAACUGCACUGAGACUCUGUGUGUGCCUCUCAUCCGUUGUUACUCAGGGACGAGGAUUUCAAUAUAACAGCCAGCUACAUUAUUUAGGGAGUCAAUAGGAGCAAGAUGAGUAAAAUGAUCUUUCUGUGUCUAGGAGUCACCAUACUGACUUUUGUUUUGCCUAGUCAGGUGAUUAGCCAAAACACUACAGCUGCUAUUACAACAGGUAAUAAUACUUCUAUGUCAACGAGUAACUCCAGCAGCCUCUCUAGCACAUCUGUGACAAAUACAACUACUAUCACCACUACCACCCAUUCGCAUGCAAGUUCUGUGUAUGCAGCUCCUACUCUUUUCCUUGGCUUUGCAUCAGUUUUGCUUUUAAACCUUUUCUGGUAAGAAACUGUGGUGUAUUUGCAACACUGGCACUUGUCCCUGUCCUGCUCUUGUGUCAUUGAUCUGGCAUAAUCUUUAAAAACUGCAUGGAGGAACAGAAACCUACCCUUCUGCUAAAAGACUUUGUCCUGCAGUCUACACUGCUCACACCAUCUUGACUGAGAAGCUCUCACUGACAAACCAACAAUCCCAAGGCUGAAUGAUGUGGCAGCGCUCUUGUUUACUGCAGGAAUCGACCAGUGACAAGCUCCAGUAUCAACUUCAGAAAAAGUCUUAAUUUCUUAAGUGGAAGCAGAUAUCCCAAAGUGAAAGCAAGCCCAGAUUACAAGAGAUAAAUAAUGCACUAGACAACACAUGUGAAUUAGUAAACGUUGGUUAAUCAAGACUGUUAAUGAAAGAAAAGAUACUGGGAGAUUGUUUACUCUUAUAUCAUUUACAUUUAUGUAUAACAGUAAAACUAGGUUAGUUUGAUGCUUAUAAAUAUAAAAUUAUGCCUUUUCAAUAAAUUAGAAGGAAACACUGAUAUUUUUUUUCAGCUGAGUUUUUAACCUUCCAUUGGAGUUUAUGAUGAAUGUGGCAAUGCUGUAAAUGUAACCAGGUAAUUUAAAAUAGGGAACAUUCUCAAAAUAACUAUGACUAUGAGUUUUCUAUCUUUUUAAUAACACCAGAAAAUGAAAAUGGCCUUCACGCAUUUAAAAUGUAACAUUUGUCUCUUUUGUAGGAAGUUUAUGUACUUUGUAUAUUUCUUUACCUUUAUUUGACCCAGUUCAAGAAUAUGUAUUUUUGUGUUCCAAAAAGGUAUAUGUUACUUUUUAAAUGCAUGUAGCUAAAAAAUACACUAAAAUACACAUUUUAACAUGUACCAGUACUUUGUUAAUCUAAAAGCACCCAGAUCUUACUAUUGCACUAAAACAGUGCUGUCCAACUUAUUACAAGUAUUGGGCCAAUUAUAUCUUGCACAGCAUGUUGGAGGGCGGAUUCAGUUAAAAUGAUGAUGUUAUAUAUUGGUCUAUGGAGCCUCUGAGAAGACUGGGGGCCAUAAAGAUCCUUUGGAGGGCCACAUCUGGCCCACGGGCCUCCAGUUGGUCAUCCCUGAACUAAAACAUUGUUACCUUACAUGACAAAAUAGUUCAUGGGUACCAAUAGACAUUUCAAAUUCAGGGUUUUUGGGCUGGAGUGAUGGCCACAGCCCUUAUAUAUAAUCUGUGCAUAAAACCUGGAGACAGUGGAUAGUGUCUAAUGAAAAGGUUACAUUUAUGGAGGUGUCCCACACCCACAUUUUAUUUUGUAGAGACAAUGAUCAGGACAUGUUAAUGACAGGGAAAUAUAUGUAUAUACAUACUAUGUAUAUGUAGAGCAGACUGUAAUUUUUACCUUUUUUGCCCAAUCAGUUUAGCCAAGACAACAAUAUGUAUGUGACAAUAUUGCACCGUCUCUGACUGUACCAGGGAUGGCUACCCUGAGGCACACCCUCAGUUGUAGUACUACAACUACAUCCUCCAAUAGGUACCAGGAGGUACCAGAAUCCUUGAAUUGCCUUAGUGUCUUAAGAAUUGAUGUUAUAUUACUGUAACAAUUAUCAUUUAAAAAUAUAAUUAUCCCUGCACUUCAUCUCUCAGUAAGGGUAAUACCAGGAGGUUUAAACACUGGGGUUUGGGUUUGAUGCUCUGUUGAUGUGACUGUGCCAGGAUAUGAGACUUGUUGCAAUAAAUCAUGAUUAUUUUGUAAGUAUAAUUUAAACAAAAUUAUAAUUAAAAAAAAUGAGACAAAUAAACAAAUAAAUAAAUUC
Xenopus tropicalis (tropical clawed frog) is the source of this 2193-nucleotide long non-coding RNA. RefSeq lists it as uncharacterized. The record is from RefSeq and is a predicted model, not a curated record. Lineage: Eukaryota; Metazoa; Chordata; Amphibia; Anura; Pipidae. The transcript is spliced from 2 exons.